AUUGAACGCUAGCGGGAUGCUUUACACAUGCAAGUCGAACGGCAGCGCGGACUUCGGUCUGGCGGCGAGUGGCGAACGGGUGAGUAAUGUAUCGGAACGUGCCCAGUAGCGGGGGAUAACUACGCGAAAGCGUAGCUAAUACCGCAUACGCCCUACGGGGGAAAGCCGGGGAUCGUAAGACCUUGCACUAUUGGAGCGGCCGAUAUCGGAUUAGCUAGUUGGUGAGGUAACGGCUCACCAAGGCGACGAUCCGUAGCUGGUUUGAGAGGGCGACCAGCCACACUGGGACUGAGACACGGCCCAGACUCCUACGGGAGGCAGCAGUGGGGAAUUUUGGACAAUGGGGGCAACCCUGAUCCAGCCAUCCCGCGUGUGCGAUGAAGGCCUUCGGGUUGUAAAGCACUUUUGGCAGGAAAGAAACGUCGCGGGCUAAUACCCCGUGGAACUGACGGUACCUGCAGAAUAAGCACCGGCUAACUACGUG
This 484-nucleotide ribosomal RNA is filed under the name uncultured bacterium. RNAcentral's name for it is "partial 16S ribosomal RNA". It matches the Rfam family "Bacterial small subunit ribosomal RNA", at positions 30 to 507 of the family's 1533-position model. The record is from RNAcentral.